GAUCAUGGCUCAGGAUGAACGCUGACAGAAUGCUUAACACAUGCAAGUCAACUUGAAUUUGGGUUUUUAACUUAGAUUUGGGUGGCGGACGGGUGAGUAACGCGUAAAGAACUUGCCUCACAGCUAGGGACAACAUUUAGAAAUGAAUGCUAAUACCUGAUAUUAUGGUUAUAGGGCAUCCUAUAAUUAUGAAAGCUAUAAGCACUGUGAGAGAGCUUUGCGUCCCAUUAG
RNAcentral lists this ribosomal RNA (231 nucleotides) under uncultured bacterium. RNAcentral describes it as "partial 16S ribosomal RNA". It matches the Rfam family "Bacterial small subunit ribosomal RNA", at positions 15 to 244 of the family's 1533-position model. The record is from RNAcentral.